This 86-nucleotide small nucleolar RNA is filed under the name Spermophilus dauricus (Daurian ground squirrel). RNAcentral describes it as "Small nucleolar RNA SNORA31 (ENSSDAG00000016473.1)". Lineage: Eukaryota; Metazoa; Chordata; Mammalia; Rodentia; Sciuridae. The record is from RNAcentral.
UGUAUCCAAGUGACAGACCCAGGGCAGUUACUGUCUGCUGCUAAGGUUUUCACCAUUGAUACAAACAAAAGUGUCUUCAUACUUUC